CUCCAGACUCCUACGGGAGGCAGCAGUGGGGAAUAUUGCACAAUGGGGGAAACCCUGAUGCAGCAACGCCGCGUGAGUGAAGAAGUCAUUCGUGAUGUAAAGCUCUAUCAGCAGGGAAGAAAAUGACGGUACCUGACUAAGAAGCCCCGGCUAACUACGUGCCAGCAGCCGCGGUAAUACGGAGGAUGCGAGCGUUAUCCGGAUUUAUUGGGUUUAAAGGGUGCGCAGGCGGAAUGUCAAGUCAGCGGUAAAAUUGCGGGGCUCAACCCCGUCGUGCCGUUGAAACUGGCGUUCUUGAGUGAGCGAGAAGUAUGCGGAGUGCGUGGUGUAGCGGUGAAAUGCAUAGAUAUCACGCAGAACUCCGAUUGCGAAGGCAGCAUACCGGCGCUCAACUGACGCUCAUGCACGAAAGCGUGGGUAUCGAACAGGAUUAGAUACCCCAGUA
Molecule: ribosomal RNA, 445 nt
Filed under: uncultured bacterium
Lineage: Bacteria
Description: bacterial SSU rRNA
Rfam family: Bacterial small subunit ribosomal RNA
Source: RNAcentral